GAUGAACGCUCGCGGCGUGCCUAAUACAUGCAAGUCGAGCGAACAGACGAGGAGCUUGCUCCUCUGACGUUAGCGGCGGACGGGUGAGUAACACGUGGAUAACCUACCUAUAAGACUGGGAUAACUUCGGGAAACCGGAGCUAAUACCGGAUAAUAUAUUGAACCGCAUGGUUCAAUAGUGAAAGACGGUUUUGCUGUCACUUAUAGAUGGAUCCGCGCCGCGUUAGCUAGUUGGGAAGGUAACGGCCUACCAAGGCAACGAGUCGUAGCCGACCGGAGAGGGUGAUCGGCCACACGGGAACUGAAACACGGUCCCGACUCCUACGGGAGGCAGCAGAAGGGAACCUUCCGCAAUGGGCGAAAGCCUUACGGAACAACGCCGCGUGAGUUAUGAAGGUCUUCGGAUCGUAAAACUCGGUUAUUAGGGAAAAACAAAUGUGUAAGUAACUAUGCACGUCUUGACGGUACCUAAUCAGAAAGCCACGGCUAACUACGUG
RNAcentral lists this ribosomal RNA (497 nucleotides) under uncultured bacterium. RNAcentral describes it as "partial 16S ribosomal RNA". It matches the Rfam family "Bacterial small subunit ribosomal RNA", at positions 28 to 507 of the family's 1533-position model. The record is from RNAcentral.